CCUACGGGGUGCAGCAGUGAGGAAUAUUGGUCAAUGGACGAGAGUCUGAACCAGCCAAGUAGCGUGAAGGAUGACUGCCCUAUGGGUUGUAAACUUCUUUUAUAUGGGAAUAAAAUGUUCCACGUGUGGGAUUUUGUAUGUACCAUAUGAAUAAGGAUCGGCUAACUCCGUGCCAGCAGCCUCGGUAAUACGGAGGAUCCGAGCGUUAUCCGGAUUUAUUGGGUUUAAAGGGAGCGUAGGUGGAUUGUUAAGUCAGUUGUGAAAGUUUGCGGCUCAACCGUAAAAUUGCAGUUGAAACUGGCAGUCUUGAGUACAGUAGAGGUGGGCGGAAUUCGUGGUGUAGCGGUGAAAUGCUUAGAUAUCACGAAGAACUCCGAUUGCGAAGGCAGUUCACUGGACUGCAACUGACACUGAGGCUCGAAAGUGUGGGUAUCAAACAGGAUUAGAUACCCCAGUAGUC
RNAcentral lists this ribosomal RNA (460 nucleotides) under uncultured bacterium. RNAcentral describes it as "partial 16S ribosomal RNA". It matches the Rfam family "Bacterial small subunit ribosomal RNA", at positions 338 to 795 of the family's 1533-position model. The record is from RNAcentral.